This is an RNA transcript of Mus musculus (house mouse), 2167 nucleotides long. It is a transcript of the gene named queuine tRNA-ribosyltransferase catalytic subunit 1, with no coding region annotated. The transcript has 9 exons. Lineage: Eukaryota; Metazoa; Chordata; Mammalia; Rodentia; Muridae. The record is from RefSeq and is marked validated.
GGGCACCUCGGCGCUGUCCUCUGUGGUCUCAGGCCACGUGGUUCCGGGACUGAAAAUGGCGGCGGUAGGCAGCCCAGGUUCGCUUGAGUCCGCUCCACGAAUAAUGCGGCUGGUCGCUGAGUGCAGUCGCUCCGGAGCUCGGGCGGGUGAGCUGCGGCUGCCGCAUGGAACGGUAGCCACCCCUGUGUUCAUGCCUGUGGGUACACAGGCCACCAUGAAGGGUAUCACCACGGAGCAGCUGGACUCCCUGGGCUGCCGCAUCUGCUUGGGCAACACCUACCAUCUGGGGCUGAGGCCGGGACCGGAGCUGAUCCGGAAAGCCCAGGGUCUUCACGGCUUCAUGAAUUGGCCCCACAAUCUGCUGACGGAUAGCGGCGGCUUCCAGAUGGUGUCCCUCUUCUCCCUGUCCGAGGUGACGGAGGAGGGCGUCCACUUCCGCUCGCCCUACGAUGGAGAAGAGACACUUUUGAGCCCAGAGAGGUCGGUGGAGAUCCAGAAUGCUCUGGGCUCGGACAUCAUCAUGCAGUUAGACCAUGUGGUGAGCAGCACAGUGACAGGCCCUCUAGUGGAGGAGGCCAUGCACAGGUCAGUCCGCUGGCUGGACAGAUGCAUCGCAGCCCAUAAGCACCCGGACAAGCAGAACCUCUUUGCCAUCAUCCAGGGUGGACUGAAUGCUGAUCUUCGGACCACUUGUCUGAAAGGUAGAGUCAGGUACUGACAAGGGUAGGGCUGGUCCAGGUACAAGGGUGCUGUGACCAUAGCCAUUAACUAUGAGUAAAGGUGUGAGUGCAGGAGACAGAGGCCUGAGGCCUCAGGCAGUAGUAGGGCAGGUCUAGAAAACUGAUCCUAGGUUGGAUCAUGGUUUUUGAAUUUGAUGAUUCUCUCUGUCUGUCUGUCUGUCUGUCUCUUCUUUCUCUAUGUCUUCUCCCUCCCUCCUUCCCUUCCUCCCAGUGGUGUGUGUGUGUGUGUGUCUGUCACAUGCAUGCAUGCAUGCAUGCGUGCGCAUGUGCACAUGUGAUACUGUGAGUGUGUGGUGAGUUUUCUCCUUCCACCAUGUGGGUCCUGGGGUGGGGGUGGGGUGGGGUGGGGUGGGGGUGGGGUGGGGUGGGGCUCAGAUCCUCAGGCUUGGCAGCAAGUGCCUUUGCCCUCUUGCUGGCUCUUCUCACAGAUCUGUUGACUUAUGACAGGCUUCCAUGUAGCCCAGGCUGGUCUGUGUAGCAGAGAAUGAUCCUGUACUUGUGAUCCUCCUGCCUCCGUGUCUGAGUGCUAGGAUCACUGGCAUGCAUCACCGCACUUGGAUGAUGUGUGGAUGAGCUGGGACCCAGGGCUUCCUGCACAAGGGGACACUAAUGACCCAGUCACAGUCAUGCAGAUCAGACUGGCCUGAGUUCCUGAUCCUCCUGCCCCAGCCUCCUGUGCUGUUGGGAUUCCAGGAGAUGACCAAGAGAGAUGUGCCGGGCUUCGCCAUCGGAGGUCUGAGUGGAGGAGAAAGCAAGGCACAGUUCUGGAAGAUGGUGGCGUUGAGCACCUCCAUGCUGCCUAAGGACAAGCCACGAUACCUGAUGGGGGUUGGCUAUGCCACCGAUUUGGUGGUCUGCGUGGCUCUUGGAUGUGACAUGUUCGACUGUGUGUACCCCACACGGACAGCGCGCUUUGGAUCCGCCCUUGUGCCCACUGGGAACCUUCAGUUGAAGAAGAAGCAGUAUGCCAAGGAUUUCAGCCCCAUAAACCCUGAGUGUCCCUGUCCCACCUGCCAGACGUAGGUCUUAGAAGUUAGGAUUGGAGAGGGGAGAGGGCUCAGGCAAGUAUGCAGCCACCAACUGUGUGACCCACAGGCACAGCCGAGCCUUCCUGCAUGCCCUGCUACACAGUGACAACACUACAGCACUACACCACCUAACCGUGCACAACAUUGCCUAUCAGCUGCAGCUCCUGAGUGCCGUGCGCAGCAGUAUCUUGGAACAGCGCUUUCCUGACUUUGUACGAAACUUCAUGCGCACUAUGUAUGGUGACCACAGCCUCUGUCCUGCCUGGGCCGUUGAAGCACUGGCCUCUGUGGGAAUCAUGCUCACAUGACCUGGUUGCUGGGAAGGACACUGGGGUAUGGGGAAUUCUGAAGGAUUCUUUUUUAUAAAAGAUUUUGUUACUACUUUUUGUUUUCAUUUAA